Rhagoletis zephyria (snowberry fruit fly) is the source of this 870-nucleotide long non-coding RNA. RefSeq lists it as uncharacterized. Lineage: Eukaryota; Metazoa; Arthropoda; Insecta; Diptera; Tephritidae. The record is from RefSeq and is a predicted model, not a curated record.
UUGGUCAAAGCUGUGCGUUUUUGACCUGAGUUGCAUUAAAUAGUCUCAUAAAACUUAGUACUAUUUGUUGUUCAAAUGGUAACAUAUAUGCACAAAAACUUGGAAAAUAUUAGAUGAUUGUUUUUUAAAAAUGCUAUUUAUAAAAUUUCCUCUUGAUUUCAUCAAGUGCAUUCGUCGCCGGAGAAUGAUGUUGCAUUUCACCCAGGUGGAAAUUUCUUGGUGACUGGCGGCGAUGACGAUACAAUAACAUUGCUUGAUUUGUUAGAAGGUCGACCAAUUUAUACACGGUAGUAGUGCACUUUAGCGGAACCAGGUCAAAAUGGACGGGAAAAUUAUACACUAACUGGCCAUACUGACAAAGUUUGCGCCGUCGCUUUCUCCACAUGGUGGACAUUUUGCUUCCGCGGGCGAGUAUCGACUGUUGCUCGUUGGGAAAUCUAAUUUGCAUACAUUUGAUGCCAAUAGCUUUCGCAACAAACAAGCCAGUUCUCAAAGAGUCCAAAUUGAUUUUAAUCAUGCAACAGCUCCACAUAACUCAGCCAUAGACACACCAGUUGCUGCAGUACCAAAAAGCUGUGAUGACAGUAUUUUAAUUGAUCAACGACAAUCGGUGGCAUAUGGAAUGCGUGAUGGAAAUUUUCUGGUGUUUGAUAGCCAAUAUACUACAAGAUUACAUUAAGAAGCUAAUAGAGGACAGAGCUGUUGGUGAGGAAGGUGUGGAGUUACUGCAGUACUGCAACUGGGAAAAUCUACACUUCGCACGUGCCCCACUCGUAUGGAAUAGUAGCUUAUGUCAAAAGGCUGCUUUUAGUAUUGCGGCAUUCGCUGCAUACCCUCACUGGCGCCGAGCCGUUGAAGAAAUUUUGGCAA